RNAcentral lists this unclassified non-coding RNA (92 nucleotides) under Pseudomonas umsongensis. Its description in RNAcentral is "microRNA mir-598". The record is from RNAcentral. Lineage: Bacteria; Pseudomonadati; Pseudomonadota; Gammaproteobacteria; Pseudomonadales; Pseudomonadaceae.
UGUAGGAGCUGACGAGUGAAACGAGGCUGCGAUCUUUUGAUUUUGCCGAUAAACAAGAUCAAAAGAUCGCAGCCUCGUUUCACUCGUCAGCU